Molecule: unclassified non-coding RNA, 355 nt
Filed under: soil metagenome
Description: partial contains 5.8S ribosomal RNA, internal transcribed spacer 2, and large subunit ribosomal RNA
Rfam family: 5.8S ribosomal RNA (bases 2-121)
Source: RNAcentral
AGAUGAAGAACGUAGCGAAACGCGAUAUGUAAUGUGAAUUGCAGAAUUCAGUGAAUCAUCGAAUCUUUGAACGCACAUGGCGCCUUCCAGUAUCCUGGGAGGCAUGCCUGUCCGAGCGUCGUUUCAACCCUCGAGCCCCCGUGGCCCGGCGUUGGGGAUCUGCCCAGGCAGUCCCCGAAAACCAGUGGCGGACCCGUUACAGGCCCUUCCCUUGCGUAGUAGCAUUCGCCUCGCAUCGGGAGCCGGCGGGCUUCCAGCCUCUAAACCCCCAUCAAGUCCGCCCCGGCGGCACCAAGGUUGACCUCGGAUCAGGUAGGAAUACCCGCUGAACUUAAGCAUAUCAAUAAGCGGAGGA